This 399-nucleotide ribosomal RNA is filed under the name uncultured bacterium. RNAcentral's name for it is "partial 16S ribosomal RNA". It matches the Rfam family "Bacterial small subunit ribosomal RNA", at positions 338 to 734 of the family's 1533-position model. The record is from RNAcentral.
CCUACGGGUGGCAGCAGUGAGGAAUAUUGGUCAAUGGGCGGAAGCCUGAACCAGCCAAGUAGCGUGCAGGAUGACGGCCCUACGGGUUGUAAAUUGCUUUUAUACGGGAAUAACGCGCCUUACGUGUAGGGCUUUGCAUGUACCGUAUGAAUAAGGACCGGCUAAUUCCGUGCCAGCAGCCGCGGUAAUACGGAAGGUCCGGGCGUUAUCCGGAUUUAUUGGGUGUAAAGGGAGCGUAGGCCGCAUGUCAAGCGAGCUGUGAAAUGUCCGGGCUCAACCCGGGCCUUGCAGCGCGAACUGGCGUGCUUGAGUCCGCGGAAGGCAGGCAGAAUUCGACGUGUAGCGGUGAAAUGCGUAGAGAUGACGAAGAACCCCGAUGGCGAAGGCAGCUUGCUGCAG